GACGAACGCUGGCGGCGUGCUUAACACAUGCAAGUCGAACGGUGAAGGGACUGGUUUUGCUGGUCCUGGAUGAGUGGCGAACGGGUGAGUAACACGUGAGUAACCUGCCCCCUUCUUCUGGAUAACCGCAUGAAAGUGUGGCUAAUACGGGAUAUUCUGGGUCUGUCGCAUGGUGGGCCUGGGAAAGAUUGCGCCUUUUUUGGUGUUUUUGGUGGGGGAUGGGCUCGCGGCCUAUCAGCUUGUUGGUGGGGUGAUGGCCUACCAAGGCGGUGACGGGUAGCCGGCCUGAGAGGGUGGACGGUCACAAUGGGACUGAGACACGGCCCAGACUCCUACGGGAGGCAGCAGUGGGGAAUAUUGCACAAUGGGCGCAAGCCUGAUGCAGCGACGCCGCGUGAGGGAUGGAGGCCUUCGGGUUGUGAACCUCUUUCGCCAGUGAAGCAGGCCUGCCUCUUUUUGUGGGUGGGUUGACGGUAGCUGGAUAAGAAGCGCCGGCUAACUACGUG
RNAcentral lists this ribosomal RNA (506 nucleotides) under uncultured bacterium. Its description in RNAcentral is "partial 16S ribosomal RNA". It matches the Rfam family "Bacterial small subunit ribosomal RNA", at positions 28 to 507 of the family's 1533-position model. The record is from RNAcentral.